AUGCCGAAAGCCAGCACUUGCCAGCUACACCCAUCUGCUGCUUUUCAUUACCGAGACCCUGCUCCGUCCCGAGGUGUGUGUGUGCGCUCCGUGCCCCCGCAGCACCGGGGAGAGGGAGCAGAGCAAGCACCCUGCAGAAAGCAGCCCUGCACCUCCACAGCACCCCGAGGUCAUCCCUUUGAGAUGCCCGAAUUGGGAGGGCAGCGAGGGGUUGGUUCCCACCAUCCUGGCCCCUUUUUCAUGUGCCAUGAGGGAAACCCCCCUAACCUGCCCAUGGAGAAGUUCCCCUCGCCUUUUACCUGCAGGUAUGGGACAGAAAAAGCCCUGUCAUGUCCCUCAUGGUGGGGGGCACCAGAGCUGCCCCUUUGCAAUGGGUUCCCCUGCAAGGAUGCCAUCUGCAGGGGGCACAGAGCAAGCAGGACGCCAGGUGGGCUGGGGUCCAGGCUGGGGGGUCUCUGGGCAGGCAGCGGUGCUGGGGCUGGGCGAGCACCGAGCACUGCAUCCCAUAAAAUGGGUGCAUGCAAGGGGCAGGUGGAAAGGCAGCGAGAAAAGGACAGGGGGUUGGAAUUGCCAAGGCAAAGGGAUUCUUGGUCCUGCCAUGGCUAUCUCGGACCAUCCUUAAAGACCUGCUGCUGCUGGUGGUGCCCUUCCCCUUUCCCCUCUGCACAGGAGGAUGGGGUCUGGGCUUUGGCGCACUGCAAACUGAAGAUCCCCUUGGUUCUUGCCAUGAACACACGAUGCUCUCAGCAUCCCAAUGGGCUUGCUGUCUCCAGACCAUCUCCAGAGAGCACCAGGCCUGAGCCAAGGAGACUUCUCUCUGCCCUUCCAGCCCAGGGUAUCUCAGCACCAUGCUCUACCAGGCACAGGAUGGCAGAAGCGGCAGAGUGCCGGAGGAGAAGGGCAGGGCAGCAGGAGCUGAGGUGCUCUCACGGCCAAGCUCUGCCCUGGAUGCAGCUUCCUCAGCAAGCCCAGGCUGCCCUGGAGCAGAGCACGGGUUGGGGGCUCCCUGGUCCCCCUCAUUGCACCUCCGGGACCACCACCACGGCUCGCAAGGGGUGGCCAGAGCCCUGGCUGAGCUCGCACCUCGUCGAGGCAUUUUGCACCUUGUCCCAGCUGGGCAGCCCCUGCAGCACCCUUCUGUGCUGGAGGGCAGAGAGCUUAGGGGAUAGAGCCAUCAGGGCCGAGCCUGCAUUUACAGACCGAGACAAAGUCAAUCCCCAUUAUUUGCUGUUGGGAUUAGCUGGUAGGGGAAGCUCUUCUCGGAGAGGACUGGACUUAAUUAUCAGCACAUCGUUAGCUAGCAAGGAAUCUCCUAAGCUGGGAAGCUCUGAGCCGAUGCCAUCAGUCACUUCUAACAAGGUGGGCUGCAGUUUACCCAGGAGAUUUGCAGUUCCUGAUGUGCAAUUCACUGAGGCAUGA
This 1419-nucleotide long non-coding RNA is filed under the name Anas platyrhynchos platyrhynchos (common mallard). RNAcentral describes it as "lncRNA (ENSAPLG00000027572.1)". Lineage: Eukaryota; Metazoa; Chordata; Aves; Anseriformes; Anatidae. The record is from RNAcentral.